Non-coding RNA from Nestor notabilis (Kea), 630 nucleotides. NCBI's taxonomy places the organism in Eukaryota, Metazoa, Chordata, Aves, Psittaciformes, Psittacidae. The record is from the annotation of a RefSeq genome assembly.
AUGGGCGCAUUAACCAUCACUGGGGUCCAAGCUGAGGACAAGGCCAUGUAUUACUGUUGGAGCUACGAUGACAGCAGAGCUGAUAAAGCUCAUGGUGACAUGGAGCUACAGGCAAGUUCCCUGGUCCAGGCAGUGCUGACUCAGCCCCCAUUGCUGUCAGUGGAACCAGGAAAGUACAUCCAGAUCACCUGCUCUGGACUUAGCAGCAGCAGCAGCAGCUAUGAUUCUGUUGGCUGGUACCAGCAGAAGGUAUCAGGCACUGCCCCUGUGACUGUGAUCUACAGAAACAACAAUAGACCCUCGGACAUCCCUUCGCGAUUCUCUGGAUCCUUGUCUGGCUCCACAGGCACUUUAACCAUCACAGGGAUCCAAGCUGAGGACGAGGCUGUCUAUUACUGUGGGAGCUGGGACAGCAGCAGUGCUGAUCAGCGUCCUGGUGCCCCCAAGGUGGCCAUGGUUGGGUGCUCCUGGUUGACUAUCAACUGUCUGCCAUGCAUGGGGGCAGCAGUCCUAAUGGUGGAUGUGGAGGGUGUGACGCUCCUGGUAGCGCAGACCUGUUGUGUGGCUGGUUCCUCCUACCCUCAAAAUGUCUUGUCCUGUGUCUGGUCCUGUGGCUCAGUUCAGGGCUGA